GAUGAACGCUGGCGGCGUGCCUAAUACAUGCAAGUCGAGCGAACAGACGAGGAGCUUGCUCCUCUGACGUUAGCGGCGGACGGGUGAGUAACACGUGGAUAACCUACCUAUAAGACUGGGAUAACUUCGGGAAACCGGAGCUAAUACCGGAUAAUAUAUUGAACCGCAUGGUUCAAUAGUGAAAGACGGUUUUGCUGUCACUUAUAGAUGGAUCCGCGCCGCAUUAGCUAGUUGGUAAGGUAACGGCUUACCAAGGCAACGAUGCGUAGCCGACCUGAGAGGGUGAUCGGCCACACUGGAACUGAGAAACGGUCCAGACUCCUAAGGGAGGCAGCAGUAGGGAAUCUUCCGCAAUGGGCGAAAGCUUGACGGAGCAAAGCCGCGUGAGUGAUGAAGGUCUUCGGAUCGUAAAACUCUGUUAUUAGGGAAGAACAAAUGUGUAAGUAACUAUGCACGUCUUGACGGUACCUAAUCAGAAAGCCACGGCUAACUACGUG
RNAcentral lists this ribosomal RNA (497 nucleotides) under uncultured bacterium. Its description in RNAcentral is "partial 16S ribosomal RNA". It matches the Rfam family "Bacterial small subunit ribosomal RNA", at positions 28 to 507 of the family's 1533-position model. The record is from RNAcentral.